AGGAUAAACGCUGGCGGCGUGCCUAACACAUGCAAGUCGAACGCGCUUUCGGGCUUCGGUGCGAGAGCGAGUGGCGGACGGGUGAGUAACACAUGGGUACCUACCUUGGAGUGAGGGAUACCGGCGAGAAAUCGCCGACAAUACCGCAUAGGCUUCUUCACAAGGGAAGCAAAGUGACGCGAGUCACGCUUUGAGAUGGGCCUGUGGCCGAUUAGCUAGUUGGGGGGGUAACGGCUUCCCAAGGCGACGAUCGGUAGCUGGUCUGAGAGGACGAUCAGCCACACUGGGAUUGAGAACGGCCCAGACUCCUACGGGGGCAGCAGUGAGGAAUUUUCCGCAAUGGAGGCAACUCUGACGGAGCAACGCCGCGUGCAGGAGGAAGGUUUCGGAUCGUAAACUGCUUUUCGUCGGGGACGAGCAAGGACGGUACCCGAGGAAGAACGCCCCGGCUAACUACGCGCCAGCAGCCGC
RNAcentral lists this ribosomal RNA (471 nucleotides) under uncultured bacterium. Its description in RNAcentral is "SSU rRNA". It matches the Rfam family "Bacterial small subunit ribosomal RNA", at positions 26 to 518 of the family's 1533-position model. The record is from RNAcentral.